GAGCGGCGGACGGGUGAGUAACGCGUGGGUAACCUGCCCUGUACACACGGAUAACAUACCGAAAGGUAUGCUAAUACGGGAUAACAUAAGAAAUUCGCAUGUUUUUCUUAUCAAAGCUCCGGCGGUACAGGAUGGACCCGCGUCUGAUUAGCUAGUUGGUGAGGUAACGGCUCACCAAGGCGACGAUCAGUAGCCGACCUGAGAGGGUGAUCGGCCACAUUGGAACUGAGACACGGUCCAAACUCCUACGGGAGGCAGCAUG
Molecule: ribosomal RNA, 262 nt
Filed under: uncultured bacterium
Lineage: Bacteria
Description: partial 16S ribosomal RNA
Rfam family: Bacterial small subunit ribosomal RNA
Source: RNAcentral